This 90-nucleotide transfer RNA is filed under the name Candidatus Micropelagius thuwalensis. RNAcentral describes it as "tRNA-Ser". It matches the Rfam family "tRNA". Rfam says of the family: Transfer RNA (tRNA) molecules are approximately 80 nucleotides in length. The record is from RNAcentral. Lineage: Bacteria; Pseudomonadati; Pseudomonadota; Alphaproteobacteria. RNAcentral also lists the same sequence under 1 other name.
GGAGGGGUGGCCGAGUGGCUUAAGGCGCACGCUUGGAAAGCGUGUUGAGGGUAACACUUCACCGGGGUUCGAAUCCCCGUCCCUCCGCCA